RNAcentral lists this non-coding RNA (24 nucleotides) under Arabidopsis thaliana (thale cress). The record is from RNAcentral. Lineage: Eukaryota; Viridiplantae; Streptophyta; Magnoliopsida; Brassicales; Brassicaceae.
CAGGGUUUAAAAAUGGAUCUGGCC